UACGUAGGGGGCAAGCGUUGUCCGGAAUCAUUGGGCGUAAAGCGCGCGUAGGCGGCCCGGUAAGUCCGCUGUAAAAGUCCAGGGCUCAACCCUGGAAAGCCGGUGGAUACUGUCGGGCUAGAGUCCGGAAGAGGCGAGUGGAAUUCCAGGUGUAGCGGUGAAAUGCGUAGAUAUCUGGAGGAACACCGGUGGCGAAGGCGGCAUCCUGGACCAACACUGACGCUGAGUGAGCGAAAGCCAGGGGAGCAAACGGG
This 254-nucleotide ribosomal RNA is filed under the name uncultured bacterium. RNAcentral describes it as "partial 16S ribosomal RNA". It matches the Rfam family "Bacterial small subunit ribosomal RNA", at positions 524 to 776 of the family's 1533-position model. The record is from RNAcentral.